GCACGGCACCCACCUCGGGGCAGCGGCUUCACCUCCCCGUUCUCCUCCCGGGAGGCCCCGCCGGCCUCUCGGGCCCCACCGAGACCGUGCCUCCUCCUCUCCUUCUCCCGCUUCUCCUUAGGUCUGCGCGACUUGGCGUUAGCCGAGGCAGCGGCGGCGGCGGCGGGCAGGAGGAGAUGGUGAGGCUGAGCGUGCAGCAGCGUAGGAGGGACCAGCAGUUUGCGCGGCACCGGCUGAGACAAGGAAGCGGAGGCUGAGGAGGGAACGGCCGUGCCAGCGGAGAAAGAGAAACUGCUCCGAGAAGAGGACGGGGAGGGAGCAGCAGACAGAGGGGCAAAGCUCCAAGACGCGGGGCUGCCAUAGCUCUGAGGCGAAGGUGCUGCCGGCGGCUGCAGCUGCCUGCUGUUCCCGCCGCUGCCCCCUUCUCCGUUCACUCUCCGCGGUGCCUUCUUCUCCUCAGUCCGGACCUUCUUGGCGGACAGAGAACCCGGAGGGUCCCGGGAGGAGAGUUGCAGCUUGCCAAACGGUUCUUUCUCCGAGACGGUGGCGGUGGGGGCCGCGGCAGCGACACAGUGCACGGGGCUCGGCGGUUCCGCCAUUUUGCGCUCCUGUUGUAUUUACUCUCCUCCGCUAGCCGGCGCGGGGCAGGGGGCGGGCCCUCCGCGAGGGGUAGGGAAGGGGCGGAGCGGCCAGGCCACCAGCCGGCAUUGCUCCAUUGGGCAAGCCACGCUGAGGGAUCCACCUAAGAGCCAAUCAAAGGCACAAACAUCAGACGAAGGGGCGGGAUCGCCACAGGGACCCUCUUCGGAGGUCAGAGCUCGGCGGGGUGCGGCUAGUGGCGGAGCGCGCUGCGAGGGGAGGGCUUUCCACUGUCGCUGGCGUGAACUCGCGUGCCCGGUGGGUAUCAGGGAAGAACCCCCGCCCCGGACCCCCAGAUCUGCCAUGGCCGAGGUAGCGAUCGUCUCUGCGGCCACGAAGACUGUUUUAACUUGUACCACUUUCCCUUCCAUUUUUCCUGGGGUGCCUCUCACCCUGCAUCUGCGCGUUCAGCAAGCUGGAUUUCGGGAAUGCUCAGUUCAGAAGAGAAAAAAUUGCCGGGAAUCAAGUCCUUCUUUUUGUUAGUCGGUAGUCGAUUGAUGGGAAGUGUUCAAAAUCAUUCGAUGUGGUGACAAGGUACGUUAUUAUUGCUAGAUCAUGUGCUGUAAUCCAUUGAAGGAGAUAACUUCCAGCAAAUCUAGAACUUUAGUAUUACUUACAAGCUUGAAGGUGAGAGUCUCCCUUUGGAGACUUUUGAACUGUUGUGACUAGACCCUUAAGAUUUUUAUUUUAUUUAUUUAUUUAUUUAUUGGGACGGAGUUUUGCUCUGUUGUCGAGGCUGGAGUGCCGUGGCGCGAUCUCGGCUCACCGCAACCUCCGCCUCCCAGAUUCAAGCGAUUCUCCUGCCUCAGCCUCCCCAGUAACAGGGACUACAGGCGUCCGGCACCAUGCUUGGCUAAUUUUUGUGUUUAUUAGAGACGGGGUUUCACCAUGUUGGCCAGGCUGGACUCGAACUCCUGAUCUCAGGUGAGCGGCCCACCUCCGCUUCCCAAAGUGCUGGGAUUACAGGCGUGAGCCACCAUGUGCGGCCUUAAGAUUUGAAUUUUAUAAUAAUUAUUAUAGCCGGGCGCGGUGGCUCACACCUGUAAUCCCAGCACUUUGGGAGACCGGGGCGGGCGGAUCACGAGGUCAGAAGUUCGAGACCAGCCUGACCAACAUGGUGAAACCCCGUCUCUACUAAAAAUGCAAAAAUUAGCUGGGCAUGGAAGCGCGCACCUGUAAUCCCAGCUACUGGGGAGGCUGGGGCAGGAGAAUCGCUUGAACCCAGGAGGCGGAGGUUGCAGUGAGCCGAGACUGCGCCACUGCACUCCAGCUUGGGCGACAGGGCAAGACUCCGUCUCAAAAAAUAAUAAUAAUAAUAAUAAUAUUAUUAUUAUUAUAACGUAGACUUGCCAGGAAAAAUUCGUUGGCGAUUAUUUAUGGAUGUUUGAAAAGCAAGAAUUGUUUUUUUAGGUUUCUGUAUUUUAGCGUUUAGUAAGCACACUGCGUGUUCGAUGUUUUGUAAGCAUGUGCUUUGAUUUUUGCUUCGAAAAUAAGCAAUUUGGGGAGAUGGGUUUUAGCUUAAAAGAUAAGGAAUGUGGCCGGGCGCGGUGGCUCAUACCUGUAAUCCCAGCACUUUGGGAGGCCAAGGCGGGCAGAUCACAAUGUCAGGAGUUCGAGACCAGCCUGGCCAACAUAGUGAAACCCUGCCUCUACUAAAAAUACAUAAUUAGCUGGGCGUAGUGGCAUGCGCCUGUAGUCCCAGCUACUCUGGAGGCUGAGGCAGAAGAAUCCCUUGAAUCUGUAAGGCAGAGGUUGCAGUAAGCUGAGUUCGUGCCAUUGCACUCCACCCGGGGCGACAGUGCCUAUUUACUCAUUUUUUUAAGAAUAUUUUUAAGAAUUUUUUUUUUUUCGGCCAAGAGUGGUGGGUGGCUCACGCAUGUAAUCCCAAGACUUUAGGAGGCGGUGAUGGGUGGAUCACCUGAGGUCAGGAGUUUGAAACCAGCCUGACUGACAUGGUGCAACCCCGUCUCUACUAAAAAUACAAAAAAAAUUAGCCAGGCGUGGUGGUGCGUGCUUGUAGUCCCAGCUCCUCGGGAGGCUAAGACAAAAGACUCGCUUGACCCCUGGAGGUGGAGGUUGCAGUGAGCUGAGAUCGUGCCACUGCACUCCAGCCUGGGUGACAGAGUAAGACUCCAUCUCAAAAAAAAAAAAAAGAAUGUUUUGGAGUCAAAUUUAAUAUUGGUUUAUGGACUUAUUUUUAUGUGCCUCAAAUUUUUUAAAGUAAUAACAGUAUUUAAUAUGUAACAUGAAAACUUUCUAAUUGGAAUUGACUGGCAGCAGAUGUCUUCAAGAAAAUUAGCAUUGGUGGGAGAGUGGACUGAGUGGAUUAGGCUGGAAAUCAUCUGCUAACGCACUAGUUUCGUGACCUUAGUCAGGCUGCUUCACUUGUUAGGACCUCCGUUUUCUUACCUGUUGAGUUAGCAUAUUUGAUUACGUGAUCACUAAGGUCCCUUCCACACUCAACUUAUGCCAUAUUCAAGAAGCUUUUCAAAAUCACACCGAAACCAUUACAAUUGAAUUCAUUUUUUAAUUGUUGGCCCUCCUGAUCUAGAAAAGUGUCUCUAACAUACAUUAAUGUAGUGCCUGGAAACUUGCACCACUCAUUCUCUAAUCUCUAGCACACAGGUCUGGAAAAUCGGACUUCUUAAGAGCCCAGUUAAACUACACCCUUGCCUGCAUGAAUUUGUUACUCCUUGCAUUACAUUAUACUUUCAUGCACUGUUAUUAGGCCUGGCACUUAAUUUGUAGAGCCUAAGCAAGAGUGUGGCUAUAGAGGUCCACACACCAUCUGUCUAAAUAUUUAAAAAAUAAAUCAAGAUAACAAACUAUUAUAUAAAAUACAUUCUAUUCUACUACCUUGACAGAUCCACUUUCAUAUGAUCUGGAAGUCCAUGUUUGAAUUUAGAGUUCUUAGAGUCCCCACACUGACCCCAUUCUCCUCCCAUCCCCAAGUUCACCUGCCACACGGAAAGGCCAUACAUGCACCCAACAUGUCCAGGUGUAUGUCCACAUCCCCCUACUCCGCAAAUGGUGAUGUACAAUCGGCAGCUCACUCUGCCCUCAGAUCUAGCCAGUCUAAAAGAGGAGGGCAGGCUCCAGGCAGACAUGGCCCCUGACCUCAUGGGCUCCUUGUUCUUUACAGCAAGAGGAGGGCCAAGUAAACAGAGGCCCCUUACCCAGAUCUAAAGACAGGACUUGUCUGUUAUUAAAACAUGCGCAACUAUCUCUUUUCUGUGCUGUGUAAUUAGCCAUUCCCUUUCAACUAGAUUAUUCUUGUCAACACUUAACUGGCAGAGGUUUUCUACCACUAUCACCAAUUUCUUUUAGCAUAAUCUCUUUAUAAUCUCAUAUAGGUUUUCCAUUCUACAGCUAGAAAGCUCUUUUCAAAACCUUGGCCGGGUACAGUGGCUCAUGCCUGUAAUCCCAGCACUUUGGGAGGCCGAGGCAGGCAGAUCACCUGAGGUCAGGAGUUUGAGACCAGCCUAGCCAACAUGGUGAAACUUUGUCUCUACUAAAAAUACAAAAAUUAGCUGGGCAUGGUGGCACGUCCUUGUAGUCCAGCUACUCGGGAGGCUGUGGUAGAGAAUCGCUUGAAUCUGGGAGACGGAGGUUGCAGCGAGCCAAGAUCACGCCACUGCACUCCAGCCUGGGCGACAGAAUGAGACUCUGUCUCAAAAAAAAAAAAAAAACGAAAACGAAAAAACCUGGAUCUGACCAUCUCUCUUGCCUUGCUUCAGACCUGAAGUCAAUGGCUUUCAUUGCUCUCGGGACAAAAAACAAAAUCCUUAAUGUGUCCUGUAAGACCUUUCAUGAACUAUCCCCUUCUUCUAUUUCAAACUAACAGGUCUUUAAUCUCCAGAACCCACCAUGUUGUCUUUCAACAUAGAAACAUUGCAUAUGUGAUUCUCUCUACUUGACGUGCUUUUUCCUUUGGCUGUUGCCUAUGUGAUGAUUUGGAUAAUGAACAUAAGGGAGGCAGAUAUCAUGAAUACCUUCUAUAUUUCUAACCAGCAAAACUUGGCAGUGGUACCAUUCCCUGAGCCAAGAAACAGUGGAAGAGUGACAAGUUUCAGGUACUCUUGGACCUUGGACCUGUUGAACGCGACGUGCCUUUUCUCAUCUCCAUUCCUUUUUGCUUUUCAGUCGUUGGUGUUGUUGACUCACUGGUUAUCUCUUGCUUCCUUUUCCAUUUCAUUCUCUGUAACAGCUCUACCGAAAGCAUACUACCCUACCUACCCUACACCCUGCUUCUCCACCUUUUUUUUUUCUUUUUUCUUUUUUUUUUUUUUUUUUUUGAGGUCAGGUCUCAGCUCUAUCACCCAGGCUACAGUGCAGUGGCAGCUUCACAGCUCGCUGCAGCCUUGACCUCCUGGGCUCAAGCAUUCCCCCCACCUCAGCCUCCCGAGUAGCUGGGACUAAGGCAUUUGCCACCAUACCUAGCUAAUUUUUGUAUUUUUGUAGAGACAGGGUUUCGCCAUGUUGUUGCCCAGGCUGGUCGAGAACUCCUGGGCUCAAACACUCUGACCACCACGGUCUCCCAAAGUGCUGGGAUUACAGACAUGAGCCAGCAUAGCCAGCCGAAACUGGGUCUUUUAUAAAGAACAGAAAUUUAUUUUGUCACAAUUCUAGGGGCUGGGAGCCCAAGAUCACGGCACUGGCAGGUUCAUUUGUUUGAUAUGGGCCACAUCCUCCUGAGGGGAGGAACAUAUUGGCCUCACAUGGUAGAAGGCAGCAGGCUGAAGGCUUCAUGAGGCCUCUAUUAUCUUAUUUAUUUUGAGACAGAAUUUUUUUUUUUUUUUUUUUUUGGAGACGGAAUCUGUCUCUGACGCCCAGGCUGGAGUGCAGUGGUGCGAUCUCAGCUCACUGCAAGCUCCGCCUCCCGGGUUCACGCCAUUCUCCUGCCUCAGCCUCCCGAGUAGCUGGGACUACAGGCGCCCGCCACUACGCCCGGCUAAUUUUUGUAUUUUUAGUAGAGACAGGGUUUCACCGUGUUAGCCAGGAUGGUCUCGAUCUCCUGACCUCGUGAUCCGCCCACCUCGGCCUCCCAAAGUGCUGGGAUUACAGGCGUGAGCCACCACGCCCGGCCUGACAGAAUCUUGUUUUGUCGCCCAGGCUGGAGUGCAGUGGCGCAACUGCAGCCUCGACCUCCUGGACUAAAGUGAUCCUACCACCUCAGCCUCCCAGGUAGCUAGGACUUCAGACACUCGCCAUAACUCCCAGCUAAUUUUUGCUUAUGUUUUGUAGAGAUGGGGCCUCACUGUGUUACCCAGGCUGGUCACAAACUCCUGGGCUCAAGCGAUCCACUUGCCCAUGAAGCCUCUUGUAAUCCCAUAAACCUCAUUCACAAGAGAGCAACCCCUCUGGCCUAAACACGUCUUAAAGGCCCCACAUCUUAAUACCAUUACAUUGGCCAUUAAGUUUCAACACCUGAAUUUUGGAGGGGACACAUUGAAACCAUAGCAAUGGGUAAAAAAUAAUAAGUCAGAGUCAGGUUGAAUGUGAGAUCACAGGAAGUGGAGGGUACUAUAGAAAACUGGGAAUAUGAUGUGUUUUCUACAAUAUACAUUUGUGUUUCUCAGCUCUCGCUGCUCGUUCCCUUAUGGAAAUAGUGGUCCUACUUGCUAAAUAUAUAGAUUUUUUAAUGGGAAGUUUCCUAAAACACCAUGCAAGCCAAACAAACAUCUGUGAGUCAGUUAUAACCCACAGACUAGCAGGCUGACUUCUGAUCUAGAAAGGAGUAGCUUCGUUUUGUUAAGAUCGUUUUGAGAGUUUUGUUUAUUUUAAUUCACAACCCUGUCUUUGUCCGUUGCUGGAAUAGAUGCUAAUCGAAUAUAUUCAAACUUCCAGCCAUAACAAAUGUGUGUUCGCAGUGCUUAGAGCUGUCCUCUGUACAACCUAGAAUCUGGUUUCUCUGCACGUGACAUCCUUCUGCCUUUCUGAGCUGAACUGUAUUUUCACUCUGCACAUGUACUAUCCCUCUGGCCUUGUCCAGGUUCCUGAUCCCCUUGUAUAAAGAAAGCAGUUAUUUGACCCUUGUACUUUAUGCAGCCAUGUACUAACCUUAAAGACAUUUCUGGCCAGGUGCAGUGGCUCACGCCUGUAAUCCCAGCACUUUGGAAGGCCGAGGCAGGUAGAUCAUAAGGUCAGGAGUUUGAGACCAGCCUGGCCAACAAGGUGAAACCUCAUCUCUCCUAAAAAUAUGAAAAAAUUAGCCAGGCGUGGUGGCACAUGCCUGUAGUCCCAACUACUCCAGAGGCUGAGGCAGGAGAAUCGCUUGAACUUGGGAGGCGGAGGUUACAGCCAGGCAAGACUGUGCCAUUGCACUCUAGCCUGGGUGACAGGGUGAGAUUCCGUCUCAAAACAAACAAACAAAAAAGGACAUUUCUUCUGUCCUUAUGGCAUAGAUAUCUCAAAGCUCUACCUCCACCACGUUGACCUGCUCAUCUUUUUUUUUUUUUGAGACAGAAUUUCACUCUUGUUGCCCAGGCUGGAGUGCGAUGGCACGAUCUCGGCUCACUGCAACCUCUGCCUCCCGGGUUCAACUGAUUCUCCUGCGUCAGCCUCCCGAGUAGCUGGGAUUACAGGCAUGCGCCACCACACUCGGCUAAUUUUUUGUAUUUUUAGUAGAGACGGGGCUUCUCCAUGUUGGUCAGUCAGGCUGGUCUCGAACUCCCGACCUCAGGUGAUCUGCCCGCCUUGGCCUCCCAAAGUACUGGGAUUACAGGCAUGAGCCACCACGCCCAGCCGACCUGCUCAUCUUUAUGUGUCUUUCUCAUUUGAAUCAAUCAAUCACUGGCCAGUUAUAAAGGCUGGUACUCUGCUUUCAGAAAACCUGAAACCUUUAAACUUUCAUGCUGUCAGUUCCAGUGUAGUCCAUACUCUAGUACAGGGGCCAGCAAACUUUUUCUGUAAACAGACGUAUAGUAAAUAUUUUAGGCUUUGCAGACCUAAAAUAUUUGUAAAUAUUUUAGGCUUUGUGGUCUCUGUGGCAGCUGCUGCUCAUAGCACAAAAGCAGCCAUAGACAAGAUAUAAAGGAAUGGGCAUGGCUGUGUUCCAAAACAACUUUAUGGAAACAGGAGACAGGAUGGGUUUGGCCUGUAGGUCAUAGUUUGCUGGCUCCUAUGAAUUUUGUGUUUUUUGUUUUUUGUUUUGUUUUGUUUUGUUUUUUGAGAUGGAGUCUCACUCUGUCGCCCAGGCUGGAGUGCAGUGGUGCAGUCUCAGCUCACUGCAACCUCCGCCUCCCGGGUUCAAGCAAUUCUCCUGCCUCAGCCUCCCAAGUAGCUGGGAUUACAGGCACCCGCCACCAUGCCCGGCUAAUUUUUGUAUUCAAUAAAUUGUUUUUCAGGCUAGGUGCAGUGGCUCACUCCUGUAAUCCCAGCACUUUGGGAGGCUGAGGUGGGCAGACUGCCUGAGGUCAGGAGUUCGAGACCAGCCUGGCUAACAUAGUGAAACCCCAUCUCUACUAAAAAUACAAAAAAUUAGCCAGGUGUGGUGGUGUGCACCUGUAAACCCUGCUACUUGGGAGGCUGAGGCGGGGGAAUCACAUGAACCUGGGAGGUGGAGAUUGCAUUGAGCCAUUGCACUCCAGCCUGGGCGACAGUGUGAGACUCCACCUCAAAAAUAAAUAAAUAAAUAAUUUUUUUUUUUGUUAAUGGCUCCCCAAUUUAUAUCUCUAAACCUGACUGCUCCUCUGUGUUUGUGAUCUAACUACUCCACAUCUUCCACAGAUAUGUCAGCACUUAAAACUCAGCAUAUCUAUGACAGAGACUGCUCAUUUCCUGCCAAGUAUCUGUUUCUCCCUUCUUCCUUAUUACCUGAUCCCUUAAUUCAUUGAGAUUGCAAAGUAUCUAGCUAAGAAAAAAAAAAGUUGCUUGCCCUUCUUUCUCUUAGGGAUAGCAGUGACAUGUCAGGGAAAGUCUUUGGGUGAGGUUUUCAGGGAAGUUCCUGGGUGAAGAGGAGAGGAAACCCCUUUCUCUCUUUCCUGAAAUUUGGAGAAGGCGAUGUGGGGCAGUAAUUAUGAAGAUUGUAAGCUUUCAGCUCAUAUUUUGCUUAUUCAACAUUUCAGGUAAUUCAGGUAAAUUGAAUUCUCAACUCUUUAUUUUUCUGAGACCAAGUCUCACUCUGUUGCCCAGGCUAGAAUGCAGUGGCGUGAUUUCAGCUCACUGCAGCCUCUGCCUUCUGGGUUCAAGCAAUUCUCCCACCUCAGCCUCCCAAGUAGCUGGGAUUACAGGCAUGCACCACCACGCCCAGCUAAUUUUUGUAUUUUUAGUACAGACGGGGUUUCACCAUGUUGGCCAGUCUGGUCUCAAACUCCUGGCCUCAAGUGAGGCCUCCACCCACUUCAGCCUCCCAGAGUACUGGAAUUACAGGCGUCAGCCACCAUGCCCAGCCAAAUUCUCACCUCUUAACCAGAAAAUUGUCUCACUACAAAUAUAGCCUAACCACUUGCUCAACCACAGUCUUCUUUCCAGUUUGAAUGUGUACUUAAGGAGAGCAAACUGGGGGAAAAUAAAGUUGAAAAUUGUAGUACAGGCAUCAGCCACUGCUUAAAGGCUUCACUGAAGAGCCAUUAGCAGCCACACAGCAGGAAGCAAAAGGUAGAGAGAGUAAAAGGGGCCAAAUAGAGUAAAUAGAAACUAUCCAUAAAUGUCUCUCCUGGGGUUAAUUAUGCUGCCAGAAUUUUCAUAUGGAAGAACAUCAGCUCAUUUUGAUACUUAUUUUAAGAAAGGGAUAGGAGGCCUAUAAAAUGUGUAUCAGGAGCCUUAUUCAAUAAUAUAAAUCUCUGAAAAGAAAAGCUUAAGUUUUGUGGUUGUUUAAAAAAAAAAAAAAGGUUUGUGGUUCCAGUCAAUUCUCCAGGAAGAGGAAGCUAUUUUAGGUAAGAACUGGUAGGUAGAGAGUAAAGUGUAUUUAUCCACACCUUGAAGCCUAGGUCUGGCAAAGAAAUGUAAGGAAAAAUGAUAGACUCAUAGAAUGUCUGAAUUGCAAAUGCAGCCCUGUACGUAAUUUGUUAAUUUUCUUUACUAUCCUUUACUUUCUUUUUGAACAGUGAAUAACCUCCAGAAUAACCAUUCUUGGCUUCAUAGUUUGAGCCACACUGUCAGACCACUUGUGGUUAAGAGGAUAGUGUUUACUGAGUGCCUUGUGUAUCUCUUAUGUUUGUGGGUGUUAUGCAUCAUCCCAGUUCUACAAAGCUUUCCAAGGCAUUUUUCAAAACUGAGCUGGAAUUUCAUGUUUAUUCUGACUCUACACCAGUUUUCUUUCUAAUAUAUCCUAUUUUGCAAGAGGAAGCAGAAGUCUAAAGCAUCAAAAUGUUAAAUCCAGACAUUGGUCAGGGCUCUUUAGAAGUUUAAGUUAAUUUAAGUUUUAUGUUUAGAAAAUAGGCAUUCAAAAAAGAUGCAGUGUUUCUUAGAGUGCUGGUAGAUUCCAGUGCUUUUAUCUCAUAGAAAAGAACAGGUUUGAAUGUGUCCCCGAAAGUUGUGUGUCCCCCAGAGUUCAUGGGUUAGAAACUUAAUCUCUAAUGCAACAGUGUUCAGAGGUGGGACCUUUAAGAGGUGAUUAGGUUAUGAGGGCUCCGCCCUCAUGAAAGGAUUAAUGCCAUUAUCCAGGAGUAGAUUAGUUUUUACAGGAUCGGGUUCCUGAUAACUGAUAACCCACAGUUAGAAGAGUGCAGUUUUGUACAAAUACUGCACAUGCCAGUAGAGCCAACAAAGUACAAAACUAUGACUGUCACAAAGUUAUUUCAUAAUUUUAAUUUUGCAGAUUCUGCUUUGAAAAGCUUGUCUGUAUGAUUUAUGUGCCUUGAGGUAACAAUAUGAUGCUAUCCUAAUACAUAUUUUGCCUCAGAUUCAAGUGCUGGCUCUUCUUGAUUCCCCUCAAAUUAAUAACUACUUCUAUACCAUUAGUUUGAAAAUAGAUGAAUAAUUAAAACAGCUAAAGACCCAUCAAGGAAAUAACCUCUCUCUCUUUUUUUU
This 10611-nucleotide long non-coding RNA is filed under the name Homo sapiens (human). RNAcentral describes it as "non-protein coding APTR:15". The record is from RNAcentral. Lineage: Eukaryota; Metazoa; Chordata; Mammalia; Primates; Hominidae.